GUUGUCGAGAGCGAAGCGGUGCUCUCUGGUGCCGGGGGUUUCCCCCUUGCUGUGAGGAGAGUACUGUGCAGCCUCCUCGGCUUCCCCCAGGCUCGGCUGGGACUGUAGGACCAGGUCCGAUUUCGAGGGACGGAGCACGUUUCCCAAAGGCAGGGGUAGAGAGAAUAGGGAGUGCGCUGGGCGGAAGGUCCUUGCUUUCCAGCUAGCACAGUUCCUUUCCGGCACCUCACGUAUGUCGUCGGUACCGUGUCCUGCAGCGAGGGCUGCGGGAGUGCCUUUGUGUGGAAGUCUCCAAUUCCUAUCCUUCACUUUUUAAUCAGCUUGGUGAAUUUCUCCGUGGUGCUGCCACGGAGAAAUCAAGCACAGCUCAAAAUAGCUAAUAAAGCAGAAGUGGGAAGGAGAGCAUAACCAGUACAAAAGGGACGAAGGGAAGAGCAAUUUUAGCUACCGAUGUAUGAGAUGCACCCAGGAGAGACGGAGGCCUCAGCAGGAGCAAUGAGAGAUUGCAGCCAUGAAAGUAUUAAGGCAGAAUGAUGCUUUGUGAGCUGGAAGAUACUAGGGCUAGGCCAGGAAACACAUUCCCCUUUUCCUCCUUAGAGAUUUUAUUCUUCAUAAAGUCCUCCAGCCAGUUAUAAAUGCAUGCAAAAUACAGAGCUUGUGUGUGUGAGUGGUUUAGUUGAGUUAUGUGGGUUUGUUGUGUUUUUUUAAGCAAAGGAGAUGAGAGGGACAAAGGCAUUGUUUGCAGUAUGUCUUGAAGAUCAAAAAGGCUCGUGCUGUAGAGGUGCGGCUGAUGUCACUUUUAUCAGUCAGGACCCUCCUCUGCACCCAUGACACUGGCCUCCCAGUGCAGCUGGGGGGCAACAAGGACUAGGAUCUUCAAGUAAUAAUAUUUGUAAUGGGUUGCCAUGCGGAAAUGGAGCCUGACUACCCCAGAAAAUGCCUAACGUAGCCUUCACUGCUCUAUCUAUCCUUAUAUUAUUCCAUUGUUCUUCUACAAAUAGUGUGUUGGAAAAGGUUAACAUGGAUUAUAACGCUGCCUUGACUGGAAGAACUAUUUGUCAAUAAAGCCUGACUGCUGUAACAUAAAACUAUAUUGGCAGUUGUGAUACCCAUUUGUAACUCUCAAGUCUUUUACAGUACAGAUCUUCGGUACUGGGAAUAGUUCCGGAAUUUGCUGCUCAUUCCUCAACAAAGUUAACUAAAGGCAGCAGAUGAUAAAUUUUACUCCUUGGAGAAAAACAAACGUUGUGAUUAUGGACUUACAGAAAGGUCAAGCAACAUACAGCUCAAGUUUUAGAUGAACCAGUGUCCCACAAUCCACCAGGAAGAGUUAGAGGAGGCUGCUAGAGAAAACAUCUUAGGGGAACUGGAGGUUAAAACAGUUUUUAGUUAUCUGGUAUUCCUCUCUACCAUUUAGAGGAAGAGCUUUCACAUAAUAGAAAUCAAGGCAGCAGAAACAGAAAAGCAGGCUGCUUUUCAAUUAAAUAGAAUAUUGUGGUGCUUGGUGCUGGGCUUCUUCAUGCUCAGGAUGUGGAAGAUUCUAGCCACAGGCUGAAAAACUAGGCUGAGCUUUCAGUUGAAUGCUGUGAAGCGUGGGAUACGUUGGGAGAUCCUCCCACAUUGUCUGUAGAGGGAGAAGUAAGAGGAGCUCUUACCUGUUCAGACCUACUAUGUCAGUCUGGUUUUUUUCUCUGAUGUGCAACGGAGGCAGGGAACUCAAGCUAAGGCUUGACUAAGAAUAUUGUGUUACAUAAUUAGUACAGUGGUAAGAAUAAAUCAGACUUGAACUCUGUGAAGCAUGGUAGGCACAGGGAUUCUUCUCAUGUGUUUCCAACCUACUGGUUUCAGCUGCUUGUAUCUCUCAGAAUUUUUCAUGUUUUUCAUUUGUUUGAAAGCAGAUGCUUCAUUUCUAGAAAGUCUGAUGAGGAGAGAGAAGUUCUUCAGCUCAGACCACAUUUAAAAUAGUGACAGCACUUCAGAAAAGAAAAUGGAUAGCUCAAAAGCCUGUACUCAUUUUGGAGAAUGUCCUUGAUAAAUCAGAGAUUAAAAAAAAAACCAAAAUAAAUUUGGCAAGUCAAACAGUAUUUUUUGGGUGGUAACAAGCUUCAGAGUAUGAAGAUAGAGGACCCUUUGAUCAGAAUUGCUUUUACUGUCUUCUCUUACUACACCCUUCAAGGUAAAAGAUAAUGUUCUCUGUGGAAUCAUUUAAAAAGGCAGACUUCAAAAUACUGCAUGAGUCAUAUGUAAUGCUUUCACAGUUAAUGAAUAGUAGUGUCUGGUUACUGGAUCUAGUCUUUGGAAGGUGUGCUGUGGUGUUGAUCGGGUUUUCUGUUUUAUUUUCUGCUUAGCUUUACUGUCCUUUAGAGCAUAUACUGAUUCCUUACCUAGGUUACCUAGGGUAGUGUGGAGAAAACUGAAAAAUAAUUGUUAAAGAAUCAAGAGACAAUGGCUUUCAGCUACUUAGCAGUAGCCUGUCAUACAUCUGAAGCUGCCAUUUUCAAUUAUUUCUUCAAGCUUUUAUUCUACAUCUAUUAAUAAUUUGUAGCCCCUUCCAUCUGUUCAUUUUAUUGAUGAGUUCCUCAUUUUUAUAAAUGUGAAAUCACUUGGGUUUUACUUUGUACUUCAAAAUGAAAUACAUUUCUCUUGAAGGCCUUGGAACUGGUGUUUGCUAAGGAAAAGAAUACUUCUUUCUGGAUUAAAUUGGGAUAACAAGCAUCUGUCAAGUCUUUUCAGAGAAUUUUCAUUGUUUUAUAGUGGAGAAUGUUUAAAACCAGUAAAUACUUUGAAAAUUUGGACUUUAUCAUUACUUCCCUAACUUGGACAACUGGAUUAUUCAGAUACGAUCCGAUUAUUCAGAUAGUACCUUACCAUCUUCUUCCUGUUACAGAGUAUUCGCUAUGCAGCAGAUCCCAAUUGGUGAAGCCAAUGUAACAGGAAGCUGUCCAGAAAAGCUGCUGUAUUACAUCUAACAUCAUCACUGUGUGAACAUGGCUUUUCCGUUCUCUCCAACUAGCCUAGAUGGGAAGACAACACCAGGUACCAAACAGUGGCACCAGCAGCUGAGUAGGUGGGUUGCUGCUUGCAGGGACAGCUCACCGUAAGACUGGUACCAAUGCUUUGAGAUUCUAGGUUGGUGCAAGAGCUGUGCAGAAAGCUGGAGGGGUUACAAGCAUUGUGCAGCUGCUUGAUGGGUGUUACUAUAAGAUGAGAAAUCUGAUUGUAUGCUGAAUUCAGGUAUGACAAUACAGUGUAAGGAAACCGCUCUGUCUAGGGAAGAGUGAUAGGUGAUCUGCUUUUUUUUUGUAUGGUCUUGCACAAAUUUUCAACAUAGAAAUUGGGAAGCAGCGUAGAUAGUUGGGAUUGGGGGCCCCCCCCCCAUUUAACAAUUCUUACAAUCUUGCGAUGUUGCCACCUAUGGGUGAAACCUUGGAACGCUGCUUCAGCAAUAAAAACAUCACUACCAAGUC
Neopsephotus bourkii (Bourke's parrot) is the source of this 3467-nucleotide long non-coding RNA. RefSeq lists it as uncharacterized. NCBI's taxonomy places the organism in Eukaryota, Metazoa, Chordata, Aves, Psittaciformes, Psittacidae. The record is from RefSeq and is a predicted model, not a curated record. The transcript is spliced from 2 exons.